UCCCCAGAAAGAGGAUGAGGAUGUCCAGUAUGAUGCUGUGAAAUUCAACUGCCCCAGUGCUGCCACCCGGAUAAAGCUAGCCCGUCCCCCUCCACCCUCCAGGAGUCCCCAGGUCGAUCGCCUCCCUGUACUUUACUGCUGGGUCUGGUGGACUGCAGGAAAACACCGGGGCAGAGUGGAACUGAGAGAGGAGAAGAGGAAUAUGGAGAUGUGAUUUCAUUAAGGGACAUCCCUAAUCGUUGCUCUCUAAGUGGGAGGGGCUUAUCAUCUGGGGAGCCUCAACAACAUUAUGAUGCUGACAAGAAAGAGAAGAGUCUCUCCAGAUCAGAACACCUCAAACACCAGCAUAGAGGUACA
Oncorhynchus gorbuscha (pink salmon) is the source of this 357-nucleotide long non-coding RNA. RefSeq lists it as uncharacterized. Lineage: Eukaryota; Metazoa; Chordata; Actinopteri; Salmoniformes; Salmonidae. The transcript is spliced from 3 exons. The record is from RefSeq and is a predicted model, not a curated record.